UCUUAUGGAUGAGCAGAAAAAUGGUUUCUUAAGAUAGAAUCUACCUCUGCUAAAGGUGCUGUAAA
RNAcentral lists this microRNA precursor (65 nucleotides) under Marmota monax (woodchuck). The record is from RNAcentral. Lineage: Eukaryota; Metazoa; Chordata; Mammalia; Rodentia; Sciuridae.